UUUGUAAAUGGAUUCUCCUCCUUGUCCUCCUGCUAGGGAUCCCGAGCCCAGGGCAACACUAAUCUGCUUCUGCUCCAGCAGACAGAAGAGGCUGACUGGAAGCAUCCUCCCAGCUCUAAUCCUUGGGACCCCCCAAACAGGCAUCUGUGCUUUCUCCCUGGAAGUGAAAUGGUCAAAACACCUGUCAGAGAGUCAAGAGAGCUGUGCUCAGAUCUGACUCCACCUUGACUUUG
This 233-nucleotide long non-coding RNA is filed under the name Homo sapiens (human). RNAcentral's name for it is "non-protein coding lnc-FITM2-2:1". The record is from RNAcentral. Lineage: Eukaryota; Metazoa; Chordata; Mammalia; Primates; Hominidae.